Molecule: ribosomal RNA, 403 nt
Filed under: Fusobacteriota bacterium
Lineage: Bacteria; Fusobacteriati; Fusobacteriota
Description: Fusobacteria bacterium partial 16S ribosomal RNA
Rfam family: Bacterial small subunit ribosomal RNA
Source: RNAcentral
UGGGGAAUUUUGCACAAUGGAGGAAACUCUGAUGCAGCGACGCCGCGUGAGUGAUGAAGAUCUUCGGAUUGUAAAACUCUGUCCUUAGUGAAGAUAAUGACAGUAACUAAGAAGCAAGCCCUGGCUAAAUACGUGCCAGCAGCCGCGGUAAUACGUAUGGGGCAAGCGUUGUCCGGAAUUAUUGGGCGUAAAGGGUACGUAGGCGGUUUAAUAAGUCCUAAUUAAAAGGCUAUGGCUCAACCAUAGUAUGGUUAGGAAACUGUUGAACUUGAGUAGAUGAGGAGAAAGUGGAAUUCCAUGUGUAGCGGUGAAAUGCGUAGAUAUAUGGAGGAACACCAAUGGCGAAGGCAACUUUCUGGAAUCAAACUGACGCUGAGGUACGAAGGCGUGGGGAGCAAACAGG